GCAUAUCAUAGCGAGAAAAGAAAAUAACAAUGAUUUCCCCAGUAACGGCGAAGUGAAGAAGGAAAAGAAGCUCAAAGUUGGAACCUGCUUGGCUUAGCCAAGCCGGAUUGUAAACUGUAGAAGUGUUUUCCUGACACGCCAGGCAAAAAAAGUCCUUUGGAACAGGGCAUCAUAGAGGGUGAGAAUCCCGUCUUUGGCCUGAGCAGUUGUCUUUUGCGAUACACUUUCAAAGAGUCAGGUUGUUUGGGAAUGCAGCCUAAAUUGGGUGGUAAAUCUCACCUAAAGCUAAAUAUUGGCGAGAGACCGAUAGCGAACAAGUACCGUGAGGGAAAGAUGAAAAGAACUUUGAAAAGAGAGUUAAACAGUAUGUGAAAUUGUUAAAAGGGAACCGUUUGGAGCCAGACUGGCUUGGCUGUAAUCAAUCUGGGCUUUUGCCCGGAUGCACUUGCGGCCUAUGCCUGCCAACGACAGUUUUAUUUGGGGGAAAAAACCAGGAGGAAUGUGGCCCCUUUGCGGGGGUGUUAUAGCCUCUUGGAAAAUACCCUGGAUUGGACUGAGGAUCGCAGCGAAUGCCUUUAGGCGAGAUUGCGGCGUGCUUUUGCUGAUAAAUGCUAGAAUUUCUGCUUCGGGUGGUGCUAGUGUUUAAAGGUGGAACUCGCGCUGUAUAUUUUUUAUUCGCUUAGGUUGUUGGCUUAAUGACUCUAAAUGACCCGUCUUGAAACACGGACCAAGGAGUCCACCAUAAGUGCAAGUGUUUGGGUGCCAAACCCAUACGCGUAAGGAAACUGAUGGAUACCAAGUCCCUUUGGGAUGGCAGUAUCACCCGGCGUCGACGUUUUAUACAGAAGUGACCGAGGUAAAGCACUUAUGAUGGGACCCGAAAGAUGGUGAACUAUGCCUGAAUAGGGUGAAGCCGGAGGAAACUCCGGUGGAGGCUCGUAGCGAUUCUGACGUGCAAAUCGAUCGUCAAAUUUGGGUAUAGGGGGCGAAAGACUAAUCGAACCCAUCUAGUAGCUGGGUUCUGCG
RNAcentral lists this ribosomal RNA (1026 nucleotides) under Actinomucor elegans var. kuwaitensis. RNAcentral describes it as "LSU rRNA". It matches the Rfam family "Eukaryotic large subunit ribosomal RNA", at positions 38 to 962 of the family's 3401-position model. The record is from RNAcentral. Lineage: Eukaryota; Fungi; Mucoromycota; Mucoromycetes; Mucorales; Mucoraceae.